GUUUCCUCUUUAAACACAGAGCAUUUGGUAACACCAACCAACAUCAGGAAGAUGCAAGUUUCAACAUUACUUUGGAUUGCAUUGACGUCUUCACAGCACUUGCAGCAACAGGAAAAGACGUAGGAAUUUUGUUCCCUGCACCUGUAGCAGGUGAUUAGCAUUUCCUGGAAGAAAGCCAAGCUCAACACCUUAACACCUGAUGGCUCAAUGACAUGCAACCAUAGACAUCCUUUCCAGAUUCCUGGAGCCCGUCACAUGCAUGGCUUCCAAGACAGAAAGUGCAGCAAAAUCAUGGGAAACUUCAUUGUCCUCUUUGGCAGGGCUUCAGAUAAAGCUAGCCAACCUUUAUCUGAGAGCCACCAAGAGCCUUGGCUGAUACACAGGCUCCUUUCACAACCACACUAGCCAAUAAAUGUGUGCUAUGA
This is a non-coding RNA of Podarcis muralis (Common wall lizard), 425 nucleotides long. The record is from RefSeq and is a predicted model, not a curated record. Lineage: Eukaryota; Metazoa; Chordata; Lepidosauria; Squamata; Lacertidae.